GCGGUUGUGGUGAAAUGGUAGACACGCAGCCUUGAGGUGGCUGUGGGGCAACCCGUGGAAGUUCGACUCUUCUCAACCGCACCA
This 84-nucleotide transfer RNA is filed under the name Pseudomonadota bacterium. Its description in RNAcentral is "Proteobacteria bacterium (wastewater metagenome) tRNA-Leu". It matches the Rfam family "tRNA". Rfam says of the family: Transfer RNA (tRNA) molecules are approximately 80 nucleotides in length. Their secondary structure includes four short double-helical elements and three loops (D, anti-codon, and T loops). Further hydrogen bonds mediate the characteristic L-shaped molecular structure. tRNAs have two regions of fundamental functional importance: the anti-codon, which is responsible for specific mRNA codon recognition, and the 3' end, to which the tRNAs corresponding amino acid is attached (by aminoacyl-tRNA synthetases). tRNAs cope with the degeneracy of the genetic code in two manners: having more than one tRNA (with a specific anti-codon) for a particular amino acid; and 'wobble' base-pairing, i.e. permitting non-standard base-pairing at the 3rd anti-codon position. The record is from RNAcentral. RNAcentral also lists the same sequence under 2 other names. Lineage: Bacteria; Pseudomonadati; Pseudomonadota.